This 497-nucleotide ribosomal RNA is filed under the name uncultured bacterium. RNAcentral's name for it is "bacterial SSU rRNA". It matches the Rfam family "Bacterial small subunit ribosomal RNA", at positions 30 to 504 of the family's 1533-position model. The record is from RNAcentral.
CGAACGCUGGCGGUAUGCUUAACACAUGCAAGUCGAACGAGAAAGUCACUUCGGUGGCGAGUAGAGUGGCGCACGGGUGAGUAACGCGUAGGUGACCUGCCUCUUAGCGGGGGAUAACCAUGAGAAAUUAUGGCUAAUACCGCAUACGAAGUGCAAAUUUGGAAUUAGCACUUGAAAGGAUGCCUCUCCUUGGAAGCAUUCACUAAGAGAUGGGCCUGCGUAGCAUUAGCUUGUUGGUGGGGUAAUGGCCUACCAAGGCGACGAUGCUUAGCUGGUCUGAGAGGAUGAUCAGCCACACUGGAACUGAGACACGGUCCAGACUCCUACGGGAGGCAGCAGUGGGGAAUAUUGCGCAAUGGACGAAAGUCUGACGCAGCAAUACCGCGUGAGUGAGGAAGGCCUUCGGGUUGUAAAGCUCUGUCAGAUGGGAAGAACGAUUAGUGGUCCAAUAGGCCAUUAAAGUGACGGUACCAUCAAAGGAAGCACCGGCUAACUUC